This 4170-nucleotide long non-coding RNA is filed under the name Homo sapiens (human). Its description in RNAcentral is "HSALNT0404815". Lineage: Eukaryota; Metazoa; Chordata; Mammalia; Primates; Hominidae. The record is from RNAcentral.
ACAGAGACCGAUACCGGUCCCGCUCCCCGGGAAGGAGUGGGUCUGGGUCCAGUCCGCAGGACCCCCUCGCGGAUGCUGACGCAGAAUGGAGUUGAGGUGGGGGCAGCGCUGGACCCUAGGGCCCCUGCCUGCCUCCUGGGGAGCCCGGUGACCCAGGCAGCCCUGGUGAGGCCGCAGGAGUCUGGGCCCUAGCGACGCCCCCGGGCUCCCACAGGACGAAUGUAGACGGUGAGGCCAAGGACGCCCUGCUGCCCUCGGGACUGUCCCUCCAGCCCCCAGCUUUCCGUGGUUAUUGGGCCCCCUCUGCAGAGGGGCAGGGGAGCCCACCCUGGAUCCUGAGGCGCCGAGCUUGAGGGACCCCAGAGCUCCAGCCAGGCCGCUUUCUUUGCGGAUGGUGAAGCUGAGGUCCCGAGGAGGGCAGGGGCAGGUCCCGGGCGCUCCUCAGGCAAAGGGAGCCGAUUUAGGGGCUGGGGUCACAGGAGGCGCUUCUGCGACCUCUAGGGCCCUAGAGCCCGGGAGGAUGAGAGACUGGGGGCCUUUCGUCCACCCCUGGGGCUGGGCAGACGCUCAGCCUGUGCAACCCGAAGCUGCUUCUGCCCAGUCCCAGCCGCGGCCCCUUUAAGAGGGGGUGGUGCUUCAGCCUGGCGCCAGGGACGCUGCCAGCAUGCAGGCCCCGACGGAAGCCGAGACUGCGCUUCGUGCGAGGCCCGGGCAGCAUCGGCGGCGUGGUCAGAGCGAGUCUCGGAGAAGAUGUGGUGGCUUCCGUUUGUUGGUGGAGGAGGUGGCAGGCCUCGGCGGGUAACCCAGAGAACACAGCCGAAGUGGAAUGUGGGGACGUCUGCGACACCGGGGACAGAGCAACUGUGGAUGAAGAGGGCUACAUCUGGUUCCUGGGGAGGAGUCAUGACACUAUCAAUGCCUCUGGGUGGUGAAGGCAUUGAUUGUCCUGACCCCACAGUUUCUGUCCCAUGACAAGGACCAGCUGACUAAGGAGCUGCAGCAGCAUGUAAAGUCAGUGACAGCCCCAUCCUGUUCGAAGACUCAUGAGACCGUGCUGCACACUGGACUUCAACCAUGAGCUUCACCGUCUGUCUCUUCCUUCACUACCUUCGCUCUGCACUAGGCCAUAAGCUCUGUAGGAGAAGGAACUCAUCACAGUGCCUGCCCCAGACAGGUUGUUCAUAAGCACGUAUUGAAAUAUAGAAUUCCCAGGCACCUCCAACAGAGAGACUGGACCUUGUGAGACCCAACAAGAAGCCAGUAUUUCAGAACUGAUGAAAAAUAGCAAGGAUCUAGAUUAGGGGGUAUAGUGGGAAUGAAAUGGGGGACUGGGUGAUGCCCCAUAUUUGUCAACGACUCAUAGUCUUUCUCCAGAGAUGUCUUCCUCCCCUGUGUUCUUUGUCUCAUCAGCUGCCACCAGCACUCACUCCAGCCACUAAAGCCAGAAAGUUGAAAGACCUCUGCCCUCAUCCGGCCCAGCCCCCAUCCAGCCAAAGACCUGUCAUUUCAACCUCACGCCCACCCCGCUUUCCACUCCCACUGCUCCUGCCUUAGUUCAGACCACCACCGUCGCUCUCCUACCCAGUUCAAGCCAAGCUGACCUGGCCAGUGGCCUUCAGGCCUUCCCUUCUCCAUCCUGCCAUGUCCAUCCUCCACAGGCAGAACAGGAAGCUGUCAUGUAAAAGUGCAGGUCUGCUUUGGUCCUUCUCCUAAACCCUUCAGUGGCUUCCCGGUUCCCUUUGGGUCCUGGUACAGAUUCCUUAGCAUGGCCAGGGAGGACAGCCCUCCAUGAUCCUCCCCUCCCUGAGAUGUUCCUCCUGCCCCAGCACCCUGUGUUUGAGCCCAAGCCCGCCCUGUGGUGUCACGGGAGGCCCAGCUCCUCUGCCUGGGGUGCCUUGCCUGGCCUAGGAACUGGGAAAACUUACCUGCUUCCAAGACUCAGCUCUAGCACCUCUUCCUGCUGGGUGUUUUCCGAUGCCCCCCCUCUCGCCACCUCAUGGGGACCCCACAGUCCCCUGAAGAGCCUUCUGCCCCAGUGCCUCACCCCACUCUUUAGACCUGUUUCUGUUUCCAUGGCUGCCUUGCCUUCUUAGACCACGGGCUCCUGCAGAGCGGGACCCCAUAUCUCAGUCGGCUUUGCAUUCCCAGUGCCUGGCCGAAACUGAGGCUGGAAUGGUCUCCUAUUCCAUAAGCUCUCAAUAACCCUUGAAAAAUGACUGGAAUCCUGGACAGCGCCAAGGCAGCAACUGGGAUGGGAGAGUGAUCUGCUGCCCUCUCCUGGCAAUGUGAGGAAUUGUCCUAAGCACAGACAACUCCCUCCCUGCCUUGCACAAGUGCAGGAUGGGGGAAACUGGAAAAGGAGCUGAUGGAGGAUUGGGGAGGUGGAUGCUGUCUAAGGAGACAAACUGAAUUGAGGGGUUGCUGGGACUCGGCCGGCUCACAUGCUAUUCCCAUGUCAUGGGCCCAGGGGCCAAGUCAGUGCUUCCAAAGGAGGGUGCAUCCUGAGAGAGGCUCUGGCUCCCCCAACAAAACCCUAAACUCUUGAAGGACAUCUUCCUUCUCAGUAUACCCUAUUGCUGUGUUGUUGUAACUAUCACUGUAACUUUUAUUCACUUCAGUGGGCGAUCACUGAGUUUUUCCUCCAUUGUUGUAAAACAUGUGUUUUGCUCUUGUGUGUAAAAUGACUGUGAAUUUAGCCACUGCCUUCUCCUGAUUUUAACUCAGCUUUCUACUGCUAGGAGGUUAUCUCUGUUCUGGGUUUCUCAGCUUUCUAUCAAAACCCAAAUACUGUCAUUCCUCGGUAUCCGUAGGGGAUUGGUUCCAGGAACCUCCCUUGAAGAUACCAACAUUGCAGGUGCCCAAGCCCCUGAUAGAGAACAGCGCAGCAUUUGCAGACAACCUAUGUACACACUGCAUGCACUUUCAAUCAGCUCUAGAUUACUUCUGAUACCUAAUUCAAUGUAAAUGCUGUGUCAGUAGUUGUCUAGGGAAUAAUGACAAGAAGAAAAUUUUGUACAUGUUCAGUACGUAGGAAAAAGAAAGAGAGAUCAGACUGUCACUGUGUCUAUGUAGAAAGGGAAGACAUAAGAGAUUCCAUUUUGAAAAAGACCUGUACUUUAAACAGUUGCUUUGCUGAGAUGUUGUUAAUUUGUAGCUUUGCCCCAGCCACUUUGCCUUAGCCACUUUGACCCAACCUGGAGCUCACAAAAAUAUGUGUUGUAUAAAAUCAAGGUUUAAGGGAUCUAGGGCUGUGCAGGAUAUGCCUUGUUAACAAAAUGUUUACAAGCAGUAUACUUGGUAAAGGUCAUCGCCAUUCUCUAGUCUCAAUAAAACAGGAGCACAGUGCACUGCGGAAAGCCGCAGGGACCUCUGCCCUUGAAAGUGGGGUAUUGUCCAAGGUUUCUCCCCAUGUGAUAGUCUGAAAUAUGGCCUCGUGGGAUGAGAAAGACCUGACUGUGCCCCAGCCCGACACCCAUAAAGGGUCUGUGCUGAGGUGGAUUAGUAAAAGAGGAAAGCCUCUUGCAGUUGAGAUAGAGGAAGGCCACUGUCUCCUGCCUGCCCCUGGGAACUGAAUGUCUCGGUAUAAAACCCGAUUGUACAUUUGUUCAAUUCUGAGAUAGGAGAAAAACCGCCCUAUGGUGGGAGGCGAGACAUGUUUGCAGCAAUGCUGCCUUGUUAUUCUUUACUCCGCUGAGAUGUUUGGGUGGAGAGAAACAUAAAUCUGGCCUACAUGCACAUCCGGGCAUAGUACCUUCCCUUGAACUUAAUCAUGACACAGAUUCUUUUGCUCACAUGUUUUUUGCUGACCUUCUCCUUAUUAUCACCCUGCUGUCCUACUACAUUCCUUUUUGCUGAAAUAAUGAAAAUAAUAGUCAAUAAAAACUGAGGGAACUCAAAGGCCGGUGCCAGUGCAGGUCCUUGGUGUGCUGAAUACUGGUCCCCUGGACCCACUGUUGUUUCUCUAUACUUUGUCCCUGUGUCUUAUUUCUUUUCUCAGUCCCUCAUCCCACCCGACUAGAAAUACCCACAGGUAUUUCUAGGGAGGGGCAGACCACCCCUUCACAGUAAAGCCACAAUAUUUUUCAAAUAUUUUUACCCCAGGUGGUUGAAUCCCCAGUUGAAUCCAGAACCCACAGAUGUGAAAUCCAUGGGUGAGGAGGGCCAGCUGUG